CCUGAUGGAGCACACCGCGUGAGUGAAGAAGGGUUUCGGCUCGUAAAGCUCUGUUGUUGGAGAAGAACGUGCGUGAGAGUAACUGUUCACGCAGUGACGGUAUCCAACCAGAAAGUCACGGCUAACUACGUGCCAGCAGCCGCGGUAAUACGUAGGUGGCAAGCGUUAUCCGGAUUUAUUGGGCGUAAAGCGAGCGCAGGCGGUUGCUUAGGUCUGAUGUGAAAGCCUUCGGCUUAACCGAAGAAGUGCAUCGGAAACCGGGCGACUUGAGUGCAGAAGAGGACAGUGGAACUCCAUGUGUAGCGGUGGAAUGCGUAGAUAUAUGGAAGAACACCAGUGGCGAAGGCGGCUGUCUGGUCUGCAACUGACGCUGAGGCUCGAAAGCAUGGGUAGCGAACAGGAUUAGAUACCCUGGUAGUCCAUGCCGUAAACGAUGAGUGCUAGGUGUUGGAGGGUUUCCGCCCUUCAGUGCCGGAGCUAACGCAUUAAGCACUCCGCCUGGGGAGUACGACCGCAAGGUUGAAACUCAAAGGAAUUGACGGGGGCCCGCACAAGCGGUGGAGCAUGUGGUUUAAUUCGAAGCUACGCGAAGAACCUUACCAGGUCUUGACAUCUUGCGCUAACCUUAGAGAUAAGGCGUUCCCUUCGGGGACGCAAUGACAGGUGGUGCAUGGUCGUCGUCAGCUCGUGUCGUGAGAUGUUGGGUUAAGUCCCGCAACGAGCGCACCCUUGUUA
RNAcentral lists this ribosomal RNA (735 nucleotides) under Limosilactobacillus reuteri. Its description in RNAcentral is "bacterial SSU rRNA". It matches the Rfam family "Bacterial small subunit ribosomal RNA", at positions 382 to 1109 of the family's 1533-position model. Lineage: Bacteria; Bacillati; Bacillota; Bacilli; Lactobacillales; Lactobacillaceae. The record is from RNAcentral.